UGUAGAGUGAUGCAGAAGCCACAGUGGGUCCAUGUAGCACAGAGAAAAAGCAGUCUGUGUCUUCUGGAGUCAGAUUAGCCUGGGUUUGAAUCCUAGAUCUACUGCUUACUGGCUGGGUAACCUCAGACAAACUGACCUUCCUGAGGCUGUGUCCUCACCUGAAAAAUCACAUCACCUCAGAGCAUUCUGGAGUUGAUGAAAUGAGAUUAUGCAUGUAAGCACCGGGAAGAUGCCUGACACAGAGGAUGUGACCAAUAAGCGUGACUAUUCCUUCUAUAGAGAACGAGCAGUGCACUAAGGAUGCCCGGAAAAAAACAGAACGAU
This 324-nucleotide long non-coding RNA is filed under the name Pan troglodytes (chimpanzee). Its description in RNAcentral is "long non-coding RNA NONPTRT002296". The record is from RNAcentral. Lineage: Eukaryota; Metazoa; Chordata; Mammalia; Primates; Hominidae.